AUGGAGAGGAGCAGGAGGCUGUUCGAGACGGAGACGCACGGGGGCCGGGCGGCGUACAGGCUCCACGCCGUCACGGUGGCCGCGGGGAUCCUCCUGGUGCUCUACUACCGGGCGACGCACGUCCCGGCCGCCGGCGAGGGCCGGGCGGCGUGGCUGGGCAUGCUGGCGGCGGAGCUCUGGUACGCCGCCUACUGGGUCGUCACGCAGUCCGUCCGCUGGAGCCCCGUCCGCCGCCGCCCCUUCAUCGACCGGCUCGCCGCCAGGCACGGAGAAAGGCUACCUUGCGUCGACAUCUUUGUGUGCACUGCAGACCCCUAUUCGGAGCCGCCGAGCCUCGUCGUCUCGACCAUCCUAUCACUCAUGGCGUACAAUUACCCGCCGGAGAAAUUAAGCGUGUACCUUUCCGACGACGGAGGCUCGAUUCUCACUUUCUAUGGCAUGUGGGAGGCCUCCUUGUUUGCAAAGCACUGGCUGCCAUUCUGCAAGAGAUAUAACAUUGAGCCAAGGUCACCAGCCGCUUACUUCUCAGAGUCAGAUGGGCAUCAAGAACUGUGCACCCCAAAAGAAUGGUCAUUGAUCAAGGACAUGUUUGACGAAAUGACUGAGCGAAUAGACACGGCUGUCAUGUCGGGCAAAAUUCCUGAAGAAAUCAAUGCAAAGCAUAAAGGAUUUUAUGAAUGGAACCAAGAAAUUACCUCAAAAAAUCACCAGCCAAUUGUUCAGAUUCUGAUAGAUGGCAAGGACCAAAAUGCAGUUGAUAACGAAGGAAAUGCGCUACCAACACUUGUUUACAUGGCGCGUGAGAAGAGGCCUCAGCACCACCAUAACUUCAAAGCUGGGGCCAUGAAUGCUCUGAUAAGGGUAUCAUCAGUGAUAAGCAACAGCCCUAUCAUCAUGAAUGUGGACUGUGAUAUGUACUCCAACAACAACGAUGCGGUCAGAGAUGCACUGUGCUUCUUCCUUGACGAAGAAAUGGGUCACAAGAUUGGAUUUGUGCAGUACCCUCAGAACUAUAACAAUCUGAGCAAGAAUGAUAUAUAUGGGAACUCCCUCCAUGUCAUCAAUGAGGUGGAGAUGGGUGGUAUGGACAGUUUGGGUGGCCCUCUGUAUAUUGGCACCGGAUGUUUCCACAGAAGGGAGAUCCUUUGCGGCAGGAAGUUCACAAAAGACUACCAGGAAGACUGGAAUGCAGGAAUCAAGGACAAAUUACAAGAGAGCAUAGAUGAGACUGAAGAGAAAGCCAAGUCUUUAGCAGCCUGCACAUAUGAACAUGGCACACAGUGGGGAGAUGAGAUUGGGGUAAAAUAUGGUUGCGCGGUGGAGGAUGUAAUCACCGGAUUGGCAAUACAUUGCAGAGGAUGGGAGUCGGUCUACAACAAUCCUAAAAAACCAGCGUUUAUGGGUGUAGGUCCAACGACACUUGCUCAGACAAUAUUGCAACAUAAGCGAUGGAGCGAGGGCAACUUAUCAAUUUUCCUUUCCAAGUACAACGUGUUCUUGUUUGGGCAUGGAAAAACCAAGCUACGACAUCAGAUGGGCUACCAUAUCUACGGACUAUGGGCACCCAACUCACUCGCUACACUGUAUUAUGUUAUCAUCCCUUCACUGGCCCUCCUCAAAGGCACCCCCCUUUUCCCAGAGAUUACAAGUCCAUGGAUUGCACCCUUCGUAUAUGUCUUCUGUGUGAAGAACAUGUACAGCCUAUAUGAGGCACUAUCAUCUGGAGACACGCUGAAAGGAUGGUGGAAUGGGCAGAGGAUGUGGUUGGUCAAAAGAAUAACCUCGUACCUCUUUGGAGUCCUUGACAAUCUCCGGAAGUUACUUGGACUGUCAAAGAUGAAUUUUGUGGUUUCACCGAAGGUAAGCGAUGAAGACGAGUCCAAGAGGUAUGAGCAAGAGAUUAUGGAAUUCGGGUCGUCAGAUCCAGAAUAUGUGAUCAUCGGGACUAUCACGUUACUCAACCUUGUUUGCCUGCUGGGAGGGCUAAGUAAAGUCAUGAAAGUUGGAUGGAAUAAUAUACACUUGGAUGCACUUUUCCCCCAGCUCAUUCUCUGUGGGAUGGUGGUGAUAACCAGUAUCCCAUUCUAUGAAGCAAUGUUCCUGAGGAAGGACAAAGGCAGAAUACCAUUCCCAGUUACACUAGCUUCUAUUGGCUUUGUGAUGUUGGCCUUACUGCCAGCAAUAGUUUAA
This 2190-nucleotide ribosomal RNA is filed under the name Triticum aestivum (bread wheat). RNAcentral's name for it is "partial small subunit ribosomal RNA". Lineage: Eukaryota; Viridiplantae; Streptophyta; Magnoliopsida; Poales; Poaceae. The record is from RNAcentral.